UACGUAGGUGGCAAGCGUUAUCCGGAAUUAUUGGGCGUAAAGCGCGCGUAGGCGGUUUCUUAAGUCUGAUGUAAAAGCCCACGGCUCAACCGUGGAAGGUCAUUGGAAACUGUUAAACUUGAGUGCAGGAGAGAAAAGUGGAAUUCCUAGUGUAGCGGUGAAAUGCGUAGAGAUUAGGAGGAACACCAGUGGCGAAGGCGGCUUUUUGGCCUGCAACUGACACUGAGGCGCGAAAGCGUGGGGAGCAAACAGG
RNAcentral lists this ribosomal RNA (253 nucleotides) under uncultured bacterium. RNAcentral describes it as "partial 16S ribosomal RNA". It matches the Rfam family "Bacterial small subunit ribosomal RNA", at positions 524 to 776 of the family's 1533-position model. The record is from RNAcentral.